UACGAAGGGGGCUAGCGUUGCUCGGAAUCACUGGGCGUAAAGCGCACGUAGGCGGCUUUCUAAGUCAGGGGUGAAAUCCUGGAGCUCAACUCCAGAACUGCCUUUGAUACUGGAGAGCUUGAGUCCGGGAGAGGUGAGUGGAACUCCGAGUGUUGAGGUGAAAUCCGUAGAUAUUCGGAAGAACACCAGUGGCGAAGGCGGCUCACUGGCCCGGUACUGACGCUGAGGUGCGAAAGCGUGGGGAGCAAACAGG
RNAcentral lists this ribosomal RNA (253 nucleotides) under uncultured bacterium. Its description in RNAcentral is "partial 16S ribosomal RNA". It matches the Rfam family "Bacterial small subunit ribosomal RNA", at positions 524 to 776 of the family's 1533-position model. The record is from RNAcentral.